UAUAAAGCACGACAAUAAUUAUAUCUUGGAAGCAAUAUCAUUUAAAUCAUUUUUUUAAGUAACGCCGAUAUCUUUAGCGCCAGAUAAAAAAAUUGGUUGCUAUUUAAAGGAUUUAUGAUUAUUUUUUCUACAUUUCCUUAAACAAGUAAAUAAGACAAUCGCUAUAUUUCUGUGUAAUAUUUUUUGAAGAAAAUAGAAUAAAAUUCUCAGAAAAAGUAGCAGUUCAAAACCUUAUUUCAUGAUAUAAUUUCAUCUGGAUUAUAUAAAUAACGUUAAAAUUUUGUAUUUGUCUAAUUUUGUAUUUGAUCGUAGAUACAGAUGAGAAAGUGAUUAAUUAAAAAUUAAUCAAAUCCAUUAGCUUACCUUCAAAAUCUCCUUCCUUGAUUGAUUAUAUUUUAUUAUCUUGCAUCACCAGUUGCUUCAACAUAUCCAACGUGGAGAGUUGUUAAUGCUAUUUAAUUAAUUCUCUCUCAGAUCGAGACGUUUUAAUUUUCGUUUAAUGUUAGUAUAAUUUGCAUUACGAUUAAAAUGUGACCUGCCGCAUUGGAAUAAAAUAAUAAUAAAUAAAUCGAAGUAUCGUACUUGUAUAUUGUACAUUGAAUGAAUCCGCUUCUAUCCGCUUCUUCUCAUUUUCGUAGAGAGUGAGAGUUUCAAGUAUGUCGAGGCCUUCGAAAGCUUUGGCAUGAAAACCAUUUAUAUUAUUGUGAUUGAGAUUCAAAAUAAGCAAAUGAUGGAGAUUUCUUAACGCAAUCGAUGGAACGAUUGCUAAAUAAUUCUGCAGAAAGUUCAACUUUGUCAAUUAGUUUCCUGAAACAAUGAAUAAAAUUAUUAAUACUCAAUAGAAUUUAUUAAGUUCGAAUCAUCGUUUAAUCUUUCAGUCAUUAUCAGUAGAUAUUUCUGUUCAAAUCUCUAACUUGAUUCGAAAUAUGAUUGAGUGAGAAUUAAGGUCGAAUUGAGCGAGAUAAUUUUUAUUUAGGAGAAAGCAACGAUACAAUAUCCUCUUUGAUACAAGAAAUUUCAAUCAUAUUCUAUUGAUCUUGACAGAUUUACUGAUUGAGUAUCACGAGGAUUUCUCAAUCGCAGCCAGAGUGCUAUUAAAUAUGUAACCUUGGAGCUUCGGUAAAUUAUUGUAUUUGAGUAUCAAAUAGAAAAUGACAAUAUUUGGUUUUCCCUUUAGGGCAUUUAUGGGUUUGGAGAUAUACGAUAAUUCGGUCUGUUGACAUAAGAUAUCCAAGUCAGCCUUUUUCAUAGUACAGGAACAGGUUAAGAUCUCGCGUUGAUCUAGACACUUUGAUAACUUUUUGCGCCAAACUGCUGGCCAGAAGGCAGAUGAACCAUGUUAACCUACACGCAACAUUAAAAGUUCUACUCGUUCUCAUAUUUUCUAUGAAUAUUUGCUUUCUUCGUUAAUUUCUUCCUCUACUUCAACUUUUUUUUUCUGUUUCUUUUCAUUUCUUUCCCGUCACCAUUCCUUCUUCAUUCUCUCCUUUUUCAUCGCCCAACUCAUCUCUAUCGCGACCCUCUGUUUCUUAUAUUUCUCUUUUCUCAUUGUGCCUCUCUUUAUUCCCGUACUUCUAGCCUGCUGCAUAGCUUCUGUUCUUCUCAUACUCACUGUUCGAUUCUCUGUACCGGUACUGAAAAAAAAAAACAGAAUACAUUCGUUCAAAUUGCUUUUAACUUUCGCGAAUGUACGAUAGAUAACGUAGAGAGAACAUCUUCGAAUUUCUUUAAUUCAAAAAAUUAUUUUCUUCUAAAGCGGAAUCUUGUAAAUGAGAAAAAAUCCAUUUUCGGACUUACUUUGCUAUAAAAUGAGUAAUUUCUUAUCUUCUCAAUGAAAAAUUGCAUCAUGAAAAAAGAUCGAGAUAUAAGUUCAUUAGCGCAAAAAAACUAGAACGUAUGUAAUAUUUAAUAGUAUAGGUUUUUUAAAUAGUAUAGGUAAUUAUACAUCAAUAUACAUUUUAUAUAUCAAGGUGUACUAUAUAUAAUCGUAGCACCGGAUGAUGCGGAUGACCGAAAACAAUGCGGUAGGUACACGAAGAAUAUAUAUUUCAAACGUUGCAAUUUAUUUUCAUAAGAUAGAGGCCAUACUACAGUGUGUAUACUUAAUUUUAAGAUCGUAAGGAAUUUACUAACUAGAAAAUUAAGAAAUAUGUUAGAAAUAGUAUACAAUGAAAACGAUACGCGAUAGGCCGCAGACGUUGCAAUUUUUAAUAGCUGAGAAAGCUAAUAAAGUUCAAUCAAUCAAUCAAUCAAUCAAUCAAUCAAUUUCCAAAUUCUACAUUAUGGAACAUCGGUACCGUUAAUCGAAUGGACCUUUCGAAUGUAAUUAUCAUGGAUCUCUAGAUUAUUUCAACUAUUGUACAAGCAAACGUCGCGACUAGAACUAAUAUCUUAUAUUUGUUAAUCUUUUUUAUAACACGUGUCUAUCAAUAAAACGGUCGAACAGUUAUGUCAUCAUAUACGAUGAAACUUUAGAUCUUUCAUUUGGUAAAGCAGAUAAAAUAAACUUAAACUAAUUGAAUAAUUAAGUUAUCCGUGCCAUUGACAGUUCUCGCAUGAAUAGAUUUAACUACAGAAGAAGAAGUGACAGCUAUUCCCAGUAAUAUGUCAUCCUUACAAUUUCAGAAUUUAUCCAUUAGCCUAUUAUCUUAAUAGCUGCCUAUUAAUCUAUUGAGCCAAACAAUUUACAAUAUCAUAGGAAGAGAAAUGUAAAUUACUGAUAAGAAAUUAAUCUGCAAUAAUGACAUGAAAGCAAUCUAUAAUACCGACUUAUGCAUAUCAAUGGAUUAAUUUAAAUACCGAUGUCAUAUAUAUCAAUAGAGCAAUUAGAAAUAUCGAUUAAGUAGAAUAUGGAGAUGCUUUCAUGCGUAUAUUCAAAAAAAAAACAAGAAAAGAAUUAUGACAUUUUCACAGGAACAGUAGAAACUGAAGAGAAUGAGAGCUCAUCAAACAUAAUAUUCUCUUCACUUCUGCCGGCUUUAUCCAAGCUUUUCACAUAAUGAUAACAAGAGAAACUCAGCUUUCAAUAAGUAAUUAAAAAAUGAAAUAGAGCAAAGUUAAUGACAUAUAAGGGAGAUUAAUUAUUCGAACAUUAAAUUCACGUAAUGAUUUUUCUCGUUGUAUGAUUGAAGACUUCGACCUCAAAGAUAAUAUAAUACAAAUGAAAAGAAGAAAUUUAUUUAAAUGAAAUAUUAUGGGUUCCACAUUAUGGGUUCACCUUAAUAAUAUAUACACGCAUACAUUCGUAUUUGUACAAUAAGAAUAAAAUAAUAGAGCAGAUAUAUUGAAUAUUAAAAAUGUAAAAGUUAAUAAAAUCAAACAGGCAAGUUCUACAACAAAUACUGAAAUUAUCACAAGUAAGAUAGUUGACCAGGCGAAGGAAAUUAACGAAACAAUUGAUCAUCAAAGUACGAACAGGAUGGUGAGGUUGUUGGUAACGUUUCAGAAUUACUAGAGAAAUUAUCUAUAAAUGAGAAAUCAAAGAGAAUCGGGUCUACAUCUUCAUGUAUUUUUUAACAGAAAAGUUCAAAAAUUAAAAAAGAGGAAACGGCAACAAUUCAAAAAUUAUAAAAAGAAAGAAAAAGGACAUAAGGAAUUGCUAAGUGCAUAGGUACGUUGUUUGUAAGAUUAGCAAAUAUUGUAAUUAUUAUUGCAACACGGUGUAUGAUGAAUAUGUGUGUGUGUGUGUGAAAGAAUGAGUGACAUAGAUAAUGAACGUGCAAAGUGAAGUGUGAAACAAAAUGUCGGCAAAGAGCACCGAAGUGAUGACAGAAAGCUUUAAAGAGAAAGAAAGACGAUAAGAGAUUAGACGAGAGUGAAUAGAAUAUUCGAGGACGAAUGUAAAUAUAUACAGAAUGGCGAAGUGCGAAACCGUUGUUGUCACAAUCUCAUAUUACGACGAUAUUCUUUCGAAUCUAAAUCGGCUUUCUGGAAUAAACGAUAUUAAAUCGAACGUGAUCAUAGCCGCGUUUAGAAUAUUUCGAGAGUUAUUAUUACGAUUCUCGAUCUCAUUUAUGAUUGUUUCCAAUAUCUUUAGAUUUUCACAUGUAUAUAUAUGUAGCAGCUAAAGGUUUUAAAAUGAUGUAACGUAGAAAUGAUGCAGUACCUAGUCUUCGAUAAUGUGUCGAGCAAAGCACCUAUUCUUCAAAUAUCAAUGCAACGCUCAUGGGUCCACACGGUCACCAGGAUAAAGGACCAAACAUGAGAUUGCUUAAACAUUUCGAAUGAACUAUCCAGACAUACCCACGAUCAAUAAGAAUAUUGCUUUCCCUUUCCAUGUACCUUUUACUUAAAUUCCUCUUUUUUUAUUUUCCUUUCCUAAUUUGUUAAUACCUUCUUGGAUAGUUCGAGAGAAAUCUAAAGACAGUGGUAUCCAAGCAUUCGCACUCAUUAGUAGGAUAACCGACUCUUACGAAUAUCAUUGGCUACGACUUUAACGGAUGUAAUCGGCACGAUAGAAAUCAUUACUACAUUCAUAACUGUAUCAUACUUCAACAAAUAUACUGUGAUAACUUCAAUUCAUGAUACAAUUCAUUAACGUGCAGUUACCUCACGAGUUCCCCGGGAUCUUUCAAAAAAAUUCGCGUUCUCCUAUUAAUUCGCGAGAACCGGAUCCGCGAACCUGGUCCGGUGCAGGACGCGUACUUUUGAAAACGCUCUCUUUAAACAGAGAUUUUGAUUUAUUUUCUCUAAAAGCAAAAGUAUGAAUCAUAUACGUAAUUUAAUUUUUUAAUGCUCGAAUAAGUAAAUAAUUUCUUGAAAAAUCUAUACAGAUCUACAAAUUAGAAUCAAAGAUAGUAGUCAUCAUAGUAGUCAUAAAAUAUUAUAUAAUAGAAAAAAAUAAUCGACGCUAUAUAUAUUAAAUUUGCUUAAUUAAUAAUAUUAUAUUAAUGCUAUUGAUCUUUAGUGUAGGGUAUAUAUAUGAUUGGGUAUGAUACCGAAAUUUGACGGAAAAAAUAUGCCACUAACUUCAUUUAUAAAGGCAUGUAAGAAAGCGCGACAAACGAUACAGGAAGAUCUCUUUACGAUUAGCUGCAAUACGUAAGUUGCACGAUUCCGCGUACUGUGCGAUCGAGAAGCACGAUCUUAAGACAAUGAGUUCGUUAUGUAACAGACUCAGAUGGACAUUAGGGACGCGUCAUUCACAAGAAUACUACAAAGCAGAGCUUUGAAAUAUACUAAUGAGAGAGAAUGAAUAAAUGAUAGAAUACAUCGGUAAAGUAAAAGAUCUCCAUGAGGCACUCAUGGAUGAAGAAGAUUAUUGGGAAGAAGCUUCCGAUGUAAAAAAGUGCGAGAUUGACGAACUCGCCCUCCAUAGUUUCUGCACCGGGCUACCAACGGAGUACUUUCCAUAUUUAUCGGCUCAUAAAUGUAGGGACCUUACAGACGCAUGCGACAAAGCAAUAGAAUUAUAUUCCGCAAUGGAACACGUCAGCACUUGCUUUCUUCGGGACGAUCCAGAGAGGAGGGAAACGAUACUGGCGUACGGAAACGGGUGUUGAAUCUACGGUUUCGAUCUUAUGAGUUAUGGUAUUUGUGAACUGAUUGUAGAUUUAUGCUCUGGAGAGCUCUCGUGUAACGUUCGCCAGAUAUGACAGAAGGUUUAUACCAAACUUCUCCGCUAUCAGCAAACCACUCACUAAUCUCUUGAAGAAGACAUACCAUUCAAAUGGGAGGAGAGCCAAGAGACGUCAUUCAAAACGUUAGUAAAUUUAUAAUGUCAAGAAUCACUAUUUCAAUACCCGGAAUUUUCAAAACUAUUCGUCGUUACAGCAGACGCAUCCAAUUACGCUAUCGGAGGAAUAUUAAGCCGAAGUGAAAUAGGGAAGGAUCUGCCUAUCGCAUAUACUAAAGCUCGAGAUUACUAAACCAAGCGGAACAGAACUGCUCGACCAUAGAGAAAGAAUUAUUAGCCAUUAUAUACUCAAUGAAUUAUUUCAGACCAUAUCUUUAUGGUACUAAUUUCUCUUUAGUAACAGACCACAGGCCCUUAGUAUGGCUGAAUUCCAUGAGAGACCCUACACCGAGAUUGAUACGAUGGCGAUUAAAGCUAGUCAAAUAUAACAUUGUACAUAAGGCCGGAAAGAGAAACGUAAACGCGGACGUUUUAUCUCGAAACCCCGUGGACCUCCAUAAACAACAAAUACUUCCGAUAGUAGGAACAAGCUCGAGUGACGAAGAAAUGUAUACAGUUAGAAAUAAACGCGCAAGCACUCAAGAGUCUAAAGAAUCUCAAGAUAAGGAAGCGGAUAAUAUAAUAAAAGAAACUGUUCAAGUCUCACCCGACGUAUACGAUAAGACAGACGAAACUAGUGACGUAAUUCCAACCGAAGAAACUUACACUCAUAUCGACAGCUAUCUAACAGAGAUAACAGACAGGAUGAUAAUGUAUAACGGGAAAAUUACCUUCUUUAUUACGACUAACGGAACUCUAGUAGAUCUAGACGCAAAAGAGCUAAUAGACAACCAUACAUUACCCACCAUCAUCGACGCAACCCUUGGAAGAAUAAAGAAAAAUGAAAGGUAUUUAACUGUGUUUCCCGCCAAGGAAAGAAUCUCACUCUCCAUUCAACUAGAGACCCUGGACGAAGUCCUUCAUUUUCUUCUUGACGUGGCCAUCGAACUACAAUUAAAAAUGAUAGCAAUCUCUAGGGGACCAGUGAGAGAUAUACCCUGAGCCGACGUAAAGCGCAAAAUUCGUUCGAUCUUUUUAGGUAGAGAAACAAUGAUCAUAAUAUUAAGGCAUGAGAUAGUGAUACCUAAGGAAACCAAACGAAUUGAAAUAAUACAUGACAAUCAUUCGAGGCCUGUAGGCGGACAUAAAGGUGUAUCGGAAACUUGCUCUAAAAUCCGACAAAAAUACUAUUAGGCAAAUUUAAAAAGAGAUAUUCAAAAUUAAAUACAGAAAUGAAGAAUUUGUCAAACGAAAAAGCUUGUUAGGUUAAAAACUCAUCAACCGAUGACUAUCACUGAAACGCCCGGGAAGGCGUUCGAUAAAAUAUCUAUGGACAUCGUAAAUCCGAUACCUACCACGAAAUCCGGACGUAGCUAUAUCUUAACAAUGCAAUCUUUUCAGUAAAUAUUCUAUCGCGAUUCCUCUUCAACAAGCUUCUUCGGAGGAAAUCGCUGAUGCAUUUAUUAAAAAUUUAAUAUGCCGAUUUGGCUCUCCAAAAGGUAUCUUGACCGACCAAGAUACUAACUUUUUGUCAGAAUGAAUGAAAGCCGUAGCUAGAAAGUCCCAAAGCCAUCAAUACCAGACAAGCGCGAACCACUCACAAUCAAACGGUUCGAUUGACCGAUCACACCACAUCCUCGUAGAAUUUUUGAAACCGAAAACAGCCCAAAAUGGGACGCGAUUGGAUUGAUGUGGCAAUGUUUUCAUAUAAUACAAGCGUACACUGUAGGAACGAUGUAUACACAUCACGAACUAAUGUAUGGCCAAUUAGCCAAAACACCGAACGAGUCAGAACAAAUUAAUAAGUCUCAGGAAGCCGCGAAACAAAAUUAAAUUAACGUUAAAAAUAAAUCAAAAAUAUAUUAUGGCAAAAAGCAACGAGUUGUCAAUUUUAAAAUAAGAAACCGAGUGUACUUUCUGAAAGGGUCACAUAAAGGUAAAUUCGAUGACAAAUAUGUCGGACUAUUCGAUGUAAUAGAAAUAUUAAAAAACACAAUAUAAAAAUACGUACCGAUAAUAGCAAUCGCAUAGUACACGCCAACAGACUCAAGAUUGUUAAAUCCAAAUAAAAAUCGGCAUCAUGGAAACUUGUAAUAACGACACACGGUUUUUCUAAGCGCAGCAUGGCGCAACGAUCGCUCUCCCUUCCAUGAUGACGGUUGGUAAGGUGGUCUCACCUUAGUCUAUAAGUUAGAAUAUAAGAGAUGUUAAACGAGCUAACGGCCUCAGCUACCUUUCGACGCUUUGCAAAACAGAACAGUCCAGAACUCGACAUAAAAUCCUUACAAUGAAAACCUUUAUUUCGAUGCUAACCUUAAUAAAAAUAGCAGUAGCACUGGUAGGGUACAAUUGCGCUACGCAAUUCCUGAAUAUUACUCGUAUCGUACUCUCUCCUACAUUGUGAGAUCCCGAAUCUCCAACCAAUUAAUAACACAGUUUACGUAGACUUACUACAGACUGCUGACUACUACUUCUUAAGAGUUUUACAAUGUCGCGUGGAGAUAUACCGCACGAUAUUUCAUUGCAGCAUGUACUCACACGCGUCCAUCGUUCAUAAUGGACGUCGAGAAUACUUAUUCAUAUUGACCCACCAAUUGUGCCAACAGCUGUACUUUACGGGCAAUCUCUCUCUAGACCCGAAGGCAUUCAUAUAAGUCCUAAAGAAAAACAGCAAUGACACAAGAAGUCUUACCCUGAAUGGUACCGCCACGACAGAUGGCACUUGCAAAGGUCUCAAUAUAGCAACCUCAAUGGAACAAGAGAUGACAUAGUAGUACAAGACUCCGUUAGGAUCACGCUACUUCGCCACUGUCAUGACAAAAGCCAAUCAAAUCCACCUAAAAUUUGGAACCAUAUGUGCAUUGGACGAGGAAGCCUGCCUCGACUCGAAUGAAAGCGAAAGUUACUGAUCAAACAUCUCAAUUGACAGCUGUGGCUUCCAUGAAUAUGACAUCCUUUAUGAAGGGUCAGCAAUGAAACUAACACCUGCCGAAUCAUCUCAAGGACCCAUACUUUACACAGUGCAGCAAAAGACGUUACGUUUACUCUAACAAGAACCAGCAAGUUUGUUUUAUGCAAAUAUUUUUUGCUCUAUCCGUAAAACAGAACACCUUAAGCUAUUCAUUAUAGAAACAUCACUUGGAAGAACAUUUAAAUGGAAGACUAAAACUUCCGUAGAGAACUCAGAUAUCCUUGCCUAUGUGAAUUCAAAAUUUAUAUAUGUAGAAAGACAUCUUAAGACACAACUAACCUCAUUAUAUGUCGACAAUACGCAACAAAAGUGUGUCUUAGAGCAAUAGGUUCUCAAAAAUGCUCUUUCUUUAGCAACAAUUGCACCCGAAGAAAUGGCUUAUGCCUUGAUGAAGCAGCCAGAAUACAUGGCGGUCAUCGCAGCAAAAGUAAUAUAUAUUAUAAAAUAUAUUCCUGUGGAAGUAAAGGUCAGGCAGACUGAGGAAUGCUGUAAGGAAUUACCGAUCACAUAUCGGAACGACUCAUAUUUCCUAGCACCUAUAACACGUAUCAUCCUGAAAGAAGCUUCACCAAAAGAUUGUAAUGAAUUAUUGCCCAACAUGUAUAAUCUACAUAGAACCUGAUAUAGAGUGACUCCGAAACUGAUCGAAUCAAUACCUCCCCCAGUAAUUCAACCUCUGACGAAGCCACAGUGGAGGUACAUCGCGACCCUGAACACCUGGGAACAAGCGGGGAUCUAAAUAAACUCAUGUCACACAUCAUGGAACCAGCUGAAAAACCCGCCAUUAUCGACACUCUUGCUAAAGAAGCUAGUGGGAGACAUAUACCUUCAGGCAAAAUUUCCUUAUAUAACCUAAUGGAUGAAGAAUCAUUAAGUAAGAUUGCAUUAAGUACGGCACAACGACUCUGGGGAACCUUCGUAACCUUCGAAUCAGCAAGCGCCGGAGUCUUGGCCAUUUUUAUGCCUCUUCGAUUAGUGAAGUUCAUCGUCGACAUACUCACUCAUGGGUACGGAUUACACGAUAUUUAUGAGUGGAGCCUACAUCUCCUAGGAGCCAUAUGGAGUUCAGUAACACACUUCCUCCUCCACCUUGCCAAAAGAGUGGAACAAGAAAAACCACCCAACACAAAAAUGGCACCCAAGACUACUGCCCUCCACGAGGAAAAGGGAGAAUCCGCAGCUGACGCGCUCGAUCGACCAAGCACAUUAUUCGAAUUAAACGCGUACUUAAAUAAAGAUAAAUAUUAAAAUGUACGUAUAUUUACGCACAUUUUCAAAUAAGGGGGAAAUUGUUACAUCCCACACCCCUCUCAUACUUAGAUUUAAAAACCUAUUAUCCACCUA
This is a long non-coding RNA of Vespa mandarinia (Asian giant hornet), 9989 nucleotides long. Lineage: Eukaryota; Metazoa; Arthropoda; Insecta; Hymenoptera; Vespidae. The record is from RefSeq and is a predicted model, not a curated record.